This is a long non-coding RNA of Parasteatoda tepidariorum (common house spider), 1455 nucleotides long. NCBI's taxonomy places the organism in Eukaryota, Metazoa, Arthropoda, Arachnida, Araneae, Theridiidae. The record is from RefSeq and is a predicted model, not a curated record.
CAUUAAAACUUAUCGAUUGUCUUUCAGAAAGCGACGCACUAGCCAGGAAUGAUGUAGGAUUCCGAAAAAUUUCUCUCUUUCUUCAGAACUGCGAUGGGAAAUGAAAAAUUUUUGCCAAUCUGGUUAGAUAGAAAAGUUUUCGAAUAGAAUCCUUACAUUGAAACAGAGACAGAAACGUUGGUUUUUGAAGUGAAGAAAAUUCUGGAAACAAAGAAGAGUAAAUCCUAUAAAGAAAGAUUCUUUCGAGAUUACAACGGGAUUAUGGCAAGAAAUGAACGACAAUGAAAAACUUCUGGAAACAAGAAGCGAUCAUCGAUUAUUAAAAGUAGCAUUUACACUAAUCUUGUAUUUGUUGCAUGGUUGAAUGUCUGGUAUUGCUGUUCAAAAGAUAUUUAUUUGCAUAUAUCCCACUAAAAGAUUAAAUGUCCUCAUGUUCAAAGGUAAAAAGUUUAAUUUGAAAAAAGAUGUAAAAAUUUCCAAAUUGUUUUCAAGGUUGUAUAAUCUAAGUUUUCCCAAACCGUGAAUAUAUAUUAAAGAGAUUCCACUAUAACGUCAGAGAUCGUCAAAAGUGCAAACCUAAAUGUUCUGUGAUUAAAUCGCAGCAAAAUAGUACCGCUUUUGCUUUUUUAUAAAGAGCGUACUGAGGCAAAAAGUUUAAUGUGUCUUUUAUAGUUUUUUCCUUAUAAUUUGUUUUCCUUUUUUUCUAUAAUUUUUCUGGUUAUUUUCUUUUUGUCCUGUUCUUUAUUUUUUUUUCAAUUGAAUUUACAAUAUCCUAUGUAAAAUGUUUGGUAUUUAUUUAAAAAUUUUAUAAUUUACUUGAAAGAGUUUUCGAUGAUUUUUGAAAGAUUUGAAAUGAUUGAAAGAUUUCCUUUUAUCAAUCUCAUAUGUUUAAGAAAACAAAAAUAAUUUUCCGUUACUACUAAAAGAAAAUUAUGAUUUCAUUUCAAAACUUUUACUAUUAUAUUGUAGAAUAUAAUGCAUAGACAUGUGUCACAUUCACCUUUUAUAGUUUUAAAUUAGUAGGUGAAUAAAUACGUAUAAGUAUUGUUUCUUAUAUUUACUGCAUCCAGUCUUUUAGAUUAUUUAUUUAUAUAAGUUUUAAUUUAAACAGAAAGGAAAUUAACAGGAUUUUAUAUAAAUAACCGAAGCACUAAAUUGCUUGCUCUUCAAAUUCAUAGUUUAUACCGAACAUUCCAUUUAAAAUAAAUAUCAAGUUCUAUCAAAAUUAAGGCAAAGCGAAACCAUAGAAAAUGCGUUUCUUUGACGUCACAGUGGUAUAUUCUUAACACUAGUAAAUGGUUUAAUUUCUGUGUUAAGCAAUUAAUAAAACUAGGAUUGACAUUUAUGUAUUUGUAAUAUUUUUCAUUCUUGUUAAUUGCAUUAUACUUUAUCGCACAGAUUUCACUGUAUAGUAUUUUAUUGAAUAACAAUGUAUUAAACUGCAUUAUCUCCUCC